This 23788-nucleotide long non-coding RNA is filed under the name Physcomitrium patens. Its description in RNAcentral is "long non-coding RNA (PPAT_LNC013524)". Lineage: Eukaryota; Viridiplantae; Streptophyta; Bryopsida; Funariales; Funariaceae. The record is from RNAcentral.
UAUUGUUGGACUUAUAAUGUAUCACGGACAUACAUAUUUACCUUGAUAAUUAUCUAGAUAAUAAAAAUAAAUAAAAGUAAGUUAAAAUAGAUAAAUAUGAUAAUAUCUUAUAGAAAGCUUCUUAGAAGCUUCAUAGAUGUUGUUUUACUUUUAUAAAUAUCUAUAGGUGAUUGAUAUGUUAAAAACUUGGCCAAUAAAGAGAUCACGUGUCGACAUGUCGACCACUUGUAGUAUAAGUUGGAUAUAUGGCACACACCUAAGAAACUUGCCUUGCAAAUUAGACAUAUCUCUUACAAGUUAGAUGCGUAUUAGAGGCCUUAUAGCAUAUCACCACAUAGUUCUUAGUUAAGUAGUAUAUAUAGAGGCACAAGUGAGGCCUUUCUCACUCUUGCCAACUCCUUUCUUGCUUUUAAUUUAGUUUUAAGAGUCUUAUAUUUUCUAGUCUUUGGCAAUAGCCAUUCAAGUUUUUCUUUGAAUAUAUAUACUUUCUUCUAUUUUCUCACUUUUUUUUUGACACAAAUUCUACAAGCUUAUGUAUCUUCUUCCAAUUUGUAUUCUUGACAGAUUGACAAGAGUACACACAUAAUAUCAAAGCUUUGUCUUUUCUUGAUUAGGAGUGGAUUACCUCUUUCUCUUGAUAAGACAUAAGCGUAUUAGAAGUUGUGGAUUACCUUCUUCUAAAUUAAUAUUAUUUUUAGAAGUUUUUAUUUUUGAUUCUUUAAUAUUAUAUUCAAAGUAAAUAGAUAUUUUAUUUUUAAUUUUUUAAUUUUUAAUUUUUUUUAUUAUGCUAAUAUGGUAGAGCUUGCUGAAAUGAAGAAUGCAAAGGCUCAAAUGCAAGAGCAAAUGAGAGAUUUAAUGCUUAUAAUACAUGAACUCAAUCUACCACCACAAAAAACAACAAGAUUAUCAGGCAAUGAAGAUAUAGAAAUGAUUCAAGUUGCUUCAAUAUCUACUUCAAGCCAUACUACUACUCCUACAAUGAAACAUUGUUCAAGUUUUAAGAAACCAAAAAUUGGAUUGCUUGAAAAGUUUAAUGGUACAAGAUCUAAGUUUUGCGGAUUCAUCAAUUAGGUACAUCUAGUGAUUGAACUACAAUCACAAAGUUAUUCAAUUUAAGGAUCACAAGUCACGUUGUUUGAAACACUACUUUUAGGUUCUACUUUAUCAUAAUUUUUAUCAUUUCUUGAAUGACAUGAUCUCAUAUUGGAUAAUUUGGAAGCAUUCUUAGCAGAGUUUUGAUCUAUGUAUAGAGAAUAUGAUGCAAUCUAUAUUGCAACCAACAAGAUUUAUAUCUUGUGAUAAGACAAUCAAUCAAUGAUAUUAUAUGCUUCACAAUUUUGUUAAUAAGUGACAAAUAUCAAGUGGAAUGAUUCAUCAUUCAUCAGCCAAUUUUUCUAUGGAUUACAAUAUGACGUAAAGAAAUUGAUAUUCAAUUUACCUGAUCUUCAAACAUUAAGUCAAGAAAUUGAAAUUAUUGUGAAAUGUGAUAAUUGACUUUUUGAGUUUUGAUCUAAGAAUUAUACUAGGAAACCUCAACGUUAUUACAAUUCAAUGACAACACCGACAACUUUUCAAUCUAAACAUUUGAAAGUAGAAGACAUAUAAAUUGAUGCAGUAUGUUUUAAACCUCUUAUAAAACAAGAUAAGUCUUAUCGUUGUCAAAAAAGACUAUAUUUAUAUUGUAGAGAAGCUAAGCAUACUGCUUAAUAUUAUCCAAAGAAACAAUGUAACUAUAAAAUGAGGAGUACUAUUGUCAAAGAUGAAAACAUGUUGAAAAACAAAUUUAUCCAACUACAAUAGGGACCAUGCAGUUGAAAUCUUAUACAAUUCCUAAUGGAGGUCCUAUUCUCUCCUCAAAACCCUCUCCUUAUUGAACAAUAGAUGUGUAUUUAGGAUCUCAUAAUGACAAAGCCUCUGUCUUAAUAGAUUCAAGAGCCUCAGCUUGUUUUUUAGAUAAAGAAUUUAUUAAAAGUUAUAAUAUGCAGUUAGUAUGAAAAAUUAAAUUCAUACACGUAAAAGUCAUAGAUAGUCAUUUUUUAUCUUUUGGAGAUAUUAUUCAUGAAACACUUCUUAAAGAUGUAGUAAUAAAUAGUCAUAAUAGUUGCAUAAUUUUUAAUAUAAUUAGAUCUCCGUCUAAUCCAAUCAUUUUAGGUUUAUCAUAGCUAAAAAAAUAUAAUCUUGUAAUAGAUUGGAUUUUUCAUAAACUUGAAUUUUUUUCAAACAUCAUUAAGAGUUUUUCUAAUCUAGUAGAAAGUCAUGAGUAUAGUGUAGUCAAAUAUGUACUUGUAGGUAGAAAAGCUUUUUUACAUACUGUUAAAGAAGAACCAUCUUUUGUUAUUUAUGCCACACCUAUUUUAAAUGAUGGAAAGAUUUUAAGUAAAAUUUCAAGUAACUAUCAAGAUUUUUAAGAUUUUUUUGAAAAAAAGAAUGCAGAUAUUUUCUUGGAGCAUCAUCUAUAUGAUUGUUCAAUCGAUCUUAAAGAAAGAAUUCACCCUCGAUUUGGUCCAAUCUAUAAUUUAUCACAAAAUGAGUUGAUUAAAUUCAAGAAGUACAUUGAUGAGAAUUUGACUCAGAAUUUCAUAUGCCAUUCAAAAUCUCCUGCAUGAGUUCCUAUCUUAUUUGUGAAGAAAAAAGAUGGAUCAUUGCGAAUGUGUGUAGAUUAUUGAGGACUCAAUAAGAUUACUAUCAAAAAUAGAUAUCCUCUGCCUUUGAUAUCUAGACUUUUUGAUGAAUUAAAUCAAAGUAAGAUCUAUAUAGAAAUAGAUCUACAAGGAGUAUACAAUCUGGUCCUCAUUAAAGAAAGAGAUGAAUGGAAGAUUACAUUUCAAAUAAGGUAUGGACACUUUGAAUAUAAUGUCAUGCCUUUUGGACUCAUGAAUAUACCAACUACUUUUCAAUAUCUUAUAAAUGAUGUUUUUUGUGAGUUUCAAGAUGAUUUUAUUGUCUAUUAUAUAGUCGAUAUUUUAAUCUACUCUAAGAAUGUAGAAAAACAUGAAGUUUAUGAUCGUCGUGUAUUACAAAAACUUAGAGAUGUAAGAUUAUACACCAAGAUAAAAAAAGUGUGUAUUAUAUACUACUCAAAUGGACUUCUUAAGAUACAUCAUUUCAAACAAUGGUCUAAUGAUGGAUCCUAAAAAAAUUCAUAUAAUCAUCGAUUGGAAGAUUCUAAAAAUAAUAAAAUAUAUACAAUACUUUUUAGGAUUUGUUAAUUACUAUCGGAUCUUUAUCAAGAACUUUUCUCAAGUUAUAGUACCACUUACAUGCUUAAUUUGUAAAGACAAGCUUGCGUAGAAUAAAGAAGUAAAAGCAUCAUUUGAAGCUUUGAAAAAAACUUUUACUUCUGUACCAAUCCUACAUUACAUCAACUUUUUCAAAGAAUUUUUUAUGGAAACAAAUACAUAUGACUUUGCCUUAGGUGCAGUCUUAACAUAAAUAGGAGCGGUCAUAAACUUCAUCUACUAGCUUUUCAUUCAAAUUUUUUUUCAACAGUCGAGAUUAAUUAUGAAAUCUAUGAUAAGAAACUUCUUGUAAUUAUAGAUUCUUUUUAAGAAUAGCAUCAUUAUUUAGAAGGUACUUCAAGUUUAAUCUCUAUGUAUAUAGAUCAUAAGAACCUCAAGUAUUUCAUGUUAGCACGUAUUUUGAAUCGUUGCUAGGCUCAUUGGAACAUGUCUUUGUUAAGUUUUGAGUUUAAUAUCACUUAUCGGCUAAAAAAACAAUAAGGUUUGUUUGAUGCCCUUUCUAGACGUUCUUAUCUUACACCAAAAGAAAAAAAAGCAGUUUUUGACUAACAAAAGAUAAUUUUAUUGAAGCUAGAAUAAUUUCAUGUCCACACAAUGAAAUCAACAUUGACGAUUGAUUUGACUUUUCUCAAGUAAAUCCAAGCAAAUAUGUCUUGAGACCUUCUUAUUCAUGAUAUUAAAAAUAAUUCUUCUAAGUCUCAAGAUAUUUUGAAGUUUGAAUUUAAGGAGAACCUACUCUAUUUCAAAAGACAUUUAUAUGUUCUAGAAAGAGAAGUACGAUUAUGUGCUCUUGAAACUCAUCACAAUUUUCAUGUAGUAUGAUAUUUUGGAUAUAAUAAGACUUUGGAGCUUAUAUCUAGAGAUUUUUGGUGGACUCAAAUGUAGAAGGCUGUUAAAGAAUUUGUGCAGAUAUGUAAUAUUUUUUUAAGAUCAAAAACUCCUUGUCAUCAACCUUAUGGACUCUUCCAACCAUUACCUAUACCAGAACAACCAUGGUCUUCUGUCUCUAUGGAUUUUAUCAUGGAUCUUCUAAUUUCAAGUUCAUAUGAUUCCAUAUUCAUGAUUGUAGAUCAUUUCACCAAGAUGGUACAUUUUGUACUAUGUACAAAAUUUAUCAUAGGUGAAAGAACAACAAAAUUCUUCUUUGAUAAUAUCUAUCGCUAUCAUGGAUUAUCAAGGGAUAUUAUAUCAGAUAGAGGAAUAUAAUUUUUAUCAAGAUCUUGAAAAAUCCUUAUCAAUAUAUUGAAGGUGGAUACAAAACUAUCUUUUACUUUCUACCCUCAAAUUAAUGAACAAACAAAAUAGAUAAAUCAAGUUUUAGAGUAGUAUUUGAGGUGUACCAUCAAAUAUCAAUAAGAUGACUAGACAACUCUUUUGCCAUUGGCAAAGUUUGCUUAUAAUAAUUUGGUACAUUCUUCUACUCAAUAAACACCUUUCUUUGCCAAUUAUGGAUAUUAUCCAUAAUUUGAUACUUUUGACCUUUCAAAAGUUGAUAAUCAUAUGGCAGAAGAUAUCGCAAAUCAAUUGUCAAAGCUACAUGUAACAAUGAAUGCACAAUUAAAAGAAGCUCAAGAAUGCCAAAAAACCAAUGCAAAUGUCUAUUGCUAGGAACAACCUCAAUUCUAUAUAGGAGAUCAUGUAUAAUUACUUCAUUAUAAUAUUAAUAUUAUUUGUCUUUAUGUCAAGCUGGAUUAUCAUAGGCUUAGACCAUUUUUUAUUUAUAAACAAAUCAAUCCAGUUACUUAUCGAUUAUACUUAUCGGAGUCUAUAAAAAUCUAUUAUGUAUUCCAUGUGUCUUUUUUUGAGCCAUAUAAUACAAUGGAUAUACAAGGAAAAAGACAAAUCCCACCAUCUCCUAUAGAAGUGCAUAAUAAUGAAGAAUUUAUGGUAGAAGAAGUCUUAGAUUCAAGGCACUGCCAAAUUAGGUUAGAAUAUCUCGUACAUUGGCAUAGAUAUGAUAUUAAUAAAUAUCCUUAGAAGCUAUCUAAGAAUCUAGUAAAUACAUUUAUUAGGGUUUAAGAUUAUUUGUUUAAAAAAAUGACUAAUAUUAGUAUAAAAAUAUUGAUCUUUUUGAAGAUAUUUCAAUUCUUGUGUAAAGAGGUUGUUGGUGAUCUUGUCUUAGUCAAUUAAUUCUACAUUCUUUACUAAGAAAUACACAUCUAUAAUGAUAUUUGAAAUGAUGUUAAUUUGCUUACAAAAAUAUUAAGAAAAGCUUGCUACAAAUACAAAUAUAUUCUUUGCUAUUCCAUUUGAUAUUUAUUGUAUGCAUAUUGUAUUUGCCAACUAUAUGAAUUUUGUUGCUAAAAAUAUUGUUAUGAUUUGAAUAUGGCUGCUUAUAUUUGGAUCUAUAGCUGGUGACCUCCAAGAAGUGAAAUUUAAAGAUUAUCUUGAGAUAAUUGAUGUUCUACAAGAUCUUCCUACUCUUGACUGAAUUUAGAUACUAGUUAUUUGAGGAUGUGUGUCAUACCAUGCUUUGAAAAAACUUUUAAUACUUCUUGUUUAAGAAAAAUAAAAACUAAUGAUAGUAAUUUAUUAAACUUAUAUUAUUACCUAUUUAUUGUUUUACAUAUCAAUCUGUACUUGGAUCUUGGAUGUAACAAAGAAUUGUGCAUAGAAGUGGAAUGCUAUUGAUAUAAAAGAAGAAAAUAAUAGAAAUAAGGAUAAAAAAAAAAAAAAAAAAAAAAAAACAAUGAGACAAGAAGGUGUGAAUAUAAGAUGGUAAAAUAAGUGUGUUCUAAGAUGGCAUAUUGUUGUUGUAAGGUGUUUGUAUAAGAAACCACAUUGAUAUAAAGGUUAUCAAAUACCAUCAUAUUUAUUACUAUUUUUAUCAUUAAUAAGAUAUGUUCUUUAAUAAUUAUAUUAUAUUUAAAUAAUGAAGUAGUAAUGUAAAUGACCAUAAUUUUAAAAGAAUAUAAUAGAUACAAUUCAAAAUUAUAAUAAUGUGAUGAUUUUGAAUUGUCAUUAUUUUUGAAGAUGUAAUUGAUAUCUUUUAAGAAAAUAGCCUAUAAGCACAUAAGAGUCAAACUUACAAGUUUGUAUUGUAAAAGCAUAUUGAAUUUGGUGCUUUAAAUGUUUGAAUCUUUGAGGCAACAAAUGGCCAUGUGUCAAGGACAAAGACUCGAUGAGGGAAAAUAUACACCAAAAGGCUAUCUCGAUAUAAUAAGUCAAAAUAUAAACAAGUAGGUAUAUUAAAAGGAAACUGGAAUGGCUAUUGCCACAAGACAAGAAACUAAAGACUCUUGAAUCUAGACUAGAAGCAAGAAAGGAGUUGACAAGAGUGAAGAAGCCUUCACUCUUGUCUCUAUAUAUACUAUCUAACUAGGGGCUACGUGGCGACGUUCUAUAGGACCUCCAAUAUGUGUUGACUUUGUAGGACACAUGCCUUGACUUACAAGGCAAGUUUUCCUACAUGUGGGCCACAUAGUUAGCUUGAUCUUCAAGCUAACAACAUGUGUGGCACAUGGCCAACUUGUUGACCACGUUUCUAAUCCAAAAAGUCAAUUAAAGACACCUAUGAAGUCAAAGCAGCGUCUAGGAAGUUUCUAGGAAGCUUCUAUAUUAAAUAUUAUACAAUUAACUUACUUUUAUCUACUUUUACUUACUUCUACCUAUUUCUAUAUGUAAUUAUUAGCUUACAUGAUUAUGGCCGUGACAUUACCCCCCCUUCUAGAGACGAGUUCCACGAGGAGCGGUCAUCAUAUGUUGAGGAAAUCUAUGAUGCGACGAAUUAUAUUCGCCACAUACUCUGAUCUCUGUUCUCUUCGAAGAUGAUUGAUAGGGCCUCUCAACCAUCGGUAGUGUCCCAUACCAGGGCGGGAAGAUCACCCAGUUAUUUGAUCAUUAUUGAGGCCUUCAUAACUUCCUUCGAAUAGAAUAUUCGGAACACCAUCAGGAGUUGUUCCUACCUCUAGCAAAAUCACCAAACAUCGGGAGUCCCUUCCCAAAUCGUGAUACCAAACGCGUUGUAUCUCACCAUCUGUUCGAGGAAGAACAUGUCGUUCUUGAAGAUCUUCAUCUCGAUUGCGUCGUCUUGAAGGUUGUGACAAUCGUAAUGUCUCGUCCGACAGGUCAGCAAACGAAGGUUCUUGAGUUGAAUCCGCUGGUUGUUGGCUCUCCAUCUAAUUAGCGUCACAAAUGUAAAGAAGUUACAAACAAGGAUAGGAAAUUGAAUGUUAUCUUGCCUCAAUCUUGUCUCUUUUAUAAGAGAGAUUUUCAUCUUAGUUUUGAUGGAUGUCGUUGAUGAAAAACUUUGACUUUAGCUGAUGCAUUUGCUAGAUUCCUGGAUGGCUCCCAUGUGCGUUCACUAAUAUCAUAUCCGCGCCAAUGAACAAGAUAUUCCAGCUUAUUUCGGCGCCGCCUUGAGUCUAAUAUCUCUUCCAUCUCAAAUUCUUCAUUAUUAUCUACUUCUAUAGGAGGCGGUGGCAUUUGUCUUCUUCCUUGUAUAUCCACUGUCUUAUAUGGUUCAAGAAGAGAUACGUGGAAUACAGGAUGGAUCUUCAUUGACUCCGGUAGAUGUAACCGAUAUGCAACUGGGUUGAUCUGUUCAGAAACAGAAAAGGGGCCAAGCCUACGAUAGUCCAACUUGUCACAAGGUCGAGUAGUCUUGAUAUUGCGACGAAGUAGCCAUACCUUAUUACCCACGUUGAUUUGUGGUUGCUCCUUACGAUAUACAUCUGCGUUUAUCUUUUGUCGUUCUUGAGCUUCCUUCAAUUGUGUCUUCAUUAUUGCAUGUAACUCUGACAACCGAUUUGCCAUAUCUUCUGCUGCAGGAUUAUCAACUUUUGAAAAAUCAAAAGUAUCAAGUCGUGGAUGAUAGCCAUAAUUGGCAAAGAAAGGUGUUUGUUGCGUGGAAGAAUGUACCGUAUUAUUAUAAGCAAACUCUGCCAAUGGCAGAAGGGUUGUCCAAUCAUCUUGUUGGUAGUUGAUAGUACACCUUAAAUAUUGCUCCAAGACUUGGUUUACGUGCUCUGUUUGUCCAUCAGUUUGAGGAUGGAAAGCCGAAGAUAGCUUUAUGUCCACUUUUAAAAUCUUGAAAAGGGUCCUCCAAAAUCUUGACACAAAUUGAGUUCCCCUAUCCGAUAUGAUAUCUUUAGGUAAUCCAUGAUAGCGAUAGAUAUUAUCAAUGAAAAGCUUAGCUGUUUCUUCACCUGUGAUAGAUUUUGUACAUGGCACAAAAUGUGCCAUCUUGGUGAAACGAUCUACUAUCACAAAUAUAGAAUCAUAAGAUCUUGAGCUUGGAAGAUCUGUGAUGAAAUCCAUAGAAACAGAAGACCAUGGUUGUUCUGGUAUAGGUAAUGGCUGAAGAAGUCCGUAAGGUCGAUGACGAGGAAUUUUUGAUCUUGAACAAAUAUCACAUGAUUGUACAAAGUCUUUGACUGACUUCCACAUUUGUGGCCACCAAAAAUCUCUUGAUAUGAGUUCCAAAGUCUUAUUAUAUCCAAAGUGCCUUGCUGCUGGAAAGUCAUGACGUGCUUGAAGAACACGUAAACGUGCUUCUCCUUUUGGAACAUAUAGGCGUCCUUCAAAAUAUAAUAGAUUAUUCUUGAACUCAAACUUAGAAGGAUCAUGAGACUUGGAAGAAUUAUUCUCGAUAUCAUGAACAAGAGGGUCUGAGGACAUACUGGACUGGAUUUGCUUGAGAAAAGUUGAAUCAACAGUCAAUGUUGAUUUCAUUGCUCGGAGAUGAAAUUGCUCCGGUUUCAAGAGGACCGUUCUUUGUUGCUCAAAAGCUGCAUCUCCUUCUUUUGGUGCAAAAUAAGAACGUCUAGAUAGGGCAUCGGAUAAACCUUGUUGUUUUCCUGGCCGAUAAGUGAUAAUGAAGUCGAAUCUUGACAAAGACAUACUCCAACGAGCUUGACGACGAUUCAACACGCGUGCUGACAUGAAAUACUUGAGGUUCUUGUGAUCUGUAUACACAGUGACUGGACUAGAAGCGCCUUCUAGAUAAUGACGCCAUUCUUGAAAGGAAUCCACGAUCGCAAGAAGUUCUUUAUCGUGGAUCUCAUAAUUGAUCUCGGCUGCUGAGAAUUUUCUUGAAUGAAAAGCUAUCAGAUGGAGUUUGUCAUCUGUUCCCAUUUGUGAUAAAACUGCACCCAAGGCAAAAUCUGAUGCAUCUGUUUCCAUAAAAAAUGCCUUGGAAAAGUCAACAUGAUAUAAGACUGGUGCAGAGACAAACGAUGUCUUCAAGGCUUCAAAUGCUGCUUCCGCUUCUUGAUUCCAUUGAAAUUUAUCUUUACUAGUCAAGCGUGUAAGUGGAGCUGCAACUCGUGAGAAAUCUUUGAUGAAGAUUCGAUAGUAAUUGACAAAUCCCAAGAAACAUUGGACAUCUCUUACCGUCCUUGGAAUCUUCCAAUCCACGAUUGUUUGGACUUUCUUAGAAUCCAUCAUGAGACCAUCAUUUGAAAUGAUGUAUCCUAAAAAGUCAACUUGAGUAGUGUGAAAUACACACUUUUCCAUCUUGGCGCACAAUCCUGCAUCUCUAAGUUUUUGUAAUACUUGACGAACAUGUAUUUCAUGUUCUUCGACGUUCUUGGAAUAGAUCAGGAUAUCGUCUAGAUAGCAGACGACAAAAUUGUCUAAGAAUUCACGAAAUACAUCAUUCAUGAGAUGUUGAAAAGCAGCUGGUGCAUUCGUGAGUCCAAAGGGCAUGACAUUAUAUUCGAAAUGUCCAUACCUGGUUCGAAACGCAGUCUUCCAUUCAUCUCCUUCUUUGAUCCGUACUAGAUUAUAUGCUCCUCUUAGAUCUAUUUUUGUAUAGAUCUUAGCUUGAUUCAACUGGUCAAGGAGUCCUAAUAUCAAAGGUAAUGGAUACCUGUUCUUGAUUGUGAUCUUGUUGAGUCCUCGAUAAUCAACACACAUUCGUAAAGAUCCAUCUUUUUUCUUUACGAAUAGAAUUGGAGCUCCUGCUGGAGAUUUUGAAUGGCGUAUGAAAUUCUUCGCUAAAUUCUCGUCAAUACAUGUCUUGAGUUCAGCCAUCUCAUCUUGCGAUAAACUGUAAAUUGGUCCAAAUGGUGGCUGAGUUCCUUCCUUGAGGUCGAUUGAACAAUCAUAUGGACGAUGCUCAGGAAGAAUAUCUGCAUUCUUUUUCUCAAAAACGUCUUGAUACUCCUGAUAUUGACUUGGAAUGCCACUUGAAGUCUUUACGUUUUCAGAAAUAAGUGCAGCAUAAAUAGCAAAAGUUGAUCCUUCUUUUGCUGCGUGUAUAAAUGCUUUUGCACCUAUCAGUACGGGUUUUACUGUACUAGACUUAUAAUUUUUUACUUGGUUUGUAGAACUAUUAAUAACGCUUUUGGAAAAGUCAAGUUUACGCGAAUUCCAAUCUAUUCGAGGGUUAUAUUUUUCUAGCCAGGAUAAACCUAAAAUAACUGGAUUGGACGGGGAUUUAAUUAUGUUAAAAGCUAUGUAGCUAUCAUGACCGUCUAUUGUUACUUUUAUAGGAUGAGUUUCAUGAGUGACAUCUCCAGAAGACAAGGGACGACCAUCUAUGACUUCUACAUGUACUGGUUUAGGUUUCUGUACAAAGGGUAUUUUACGACUUUUAACAAAUUGUUCAUCUAAAAAACAUGCUGAGGCUCCCGAAUCUAAUAAAGCAGAGGCUUUGUAAUUCUUAGGUCCUAAAUAUAAGUCUAUUAUAAAACAAGGAGAGGGUUCUGAGGAGAGGAUAGGACCUUCAUUAGGAAUUGUACAAGGUUCCAGCUGCACGGUCCCUAUUGUAGCUGGACGAAUCCGUUUUCCGACAUGUUGUCUUCUUUGACCGUCGUACCCCUCAUUUUAUAGUUGCGUCGUUUCUUUGGACAAUGUUGAGCAGUGUGCUUAGGUUCUCCGCAAUAUAAACAUAAUCCUUCUUGACGACGACGAAUCUUUUCUUGCUCAGUUAGAGGUUUAAAACGUACCGCAUCAAUUUACAUGUCUUCUACUUCCGAAUGUACGUUUGGCAAAGAUGUUGAUGUUGCCAUUGAGUAAUAACGUUGAGGUUCUCGUGAAUGAUUCUCAGAUCGAAAUUCAAAAAGUCGAUUAUCACAUUUUACCGCAAAAUCGAUUGCUUGACUCAAGGUUUGAGGAUCAGGUAAGUUGAGCAUCAAUUUCUUUACUUCGUAUUGCAAUCCAUAAAGAAAUUGACUGAUGAGUGCAGCAUCAUCCCACUUGAUGUCAAUUGCAAGUUGUCGAAAUUGUGAAGCAUAUACUGUUACUGAGCGAUUUUCUUGUCGCAGAAUUCGGAUCUUAUUUGUUGCAACACGAGUUGCAUCGUGUUCACCAUACAUAGGUCGAAAAUCCGCCAAAAAAGCUUCCAAAUUGUCCAAUAUUGGAUUUUGUUGUUCAAGAAAAGACGAAAACCACGAUAAUGCAGAACCAGAAAGUAGAGUGCCAAUAAACCUGACUUGUGAUCCUGGAGUUGGAUAGCUUUGCGGUUGAAGUUCAAUUGCCAAUUGUACUUGAUUGAUGAACCCUCGAAACUUUGAUCUCGUACCAUCAAAUUUCUCAGGUAAGGCAAUUCUUGGUUCUCUAGUGCUUAUAGGGUGUUGUACAAUUGGAGAAGGAACGUGAUUUGUUGUAGAUGUUGAAGCAGCUCCGAUCAUCUCUAUAUCUCCACUUUCUGCUAUUCUUGUUCUUUCCUGUGUUGGUGAAUUGAGUUGAUGCAUCGCAAGCAUUAACUCCCUCAUUUGCUCUUGCAUUUGUGCCAUUGCACUCUUCAUUUCAACAAGCUCUGCCAUAAUGACACUAAGAAGAAAAAUUUGUUUGAUAUUGCUCAAGACAAAAGAAAAGAAAGACUUGAUAACAAAGAAGAUACUAAAAACAAUAUCAGUUUAGAAGUGGGUAAUCCGCAAACUUCUAAUACGCUUAUGUCUUGUCAAGAGAAAGGAGUAAUCCACUCUUACUCAAGAAAAAACAAAGCUCUGAUAUUGUAAGUGUACUCUUGUCAAUCUGUCAACGACAAAGACUCGAUGAGGGAAAAUAUACACCAAAAGGCUAUUUCGAUAUAAUAAGUCAAAAUAUAAAUAAGUAGGUAUAUUAAAAGGAAACUGGAAUGGCUAUUGCCACAAGACAAGAAAUUAAAGACUCUUGAAGCUGGACUAGAAGCAAGAAAGGAGUUGACAAGAGUGAAGAAGCCUUCACUCUUGUCUCUAUAUAUACUAUCUAACUAGGGGCUACGUGGCGACGUUCUAUAGGACCUCCAAUAUGUGUUGACUUUGUAGGACACAUGCCUUGACUUACAAGGCAAGUUUUCCUACGUGUGGGCCACAUAGUUAGCUUGAUCUUCAAGCUAACAACAUGUGUGGCACAUGGCCAACUUGUUGACCACGUUUCUAAUCCAAAAAGUCAAUUAAAGACACCUAUGAAGUCAAAGCAGCGUCUAGGAAGUUUCUAGGAAGCUUUUAUAUUAAAUAUUAUACAAUUAACUUACUUUUAUCUACUUUUACUUACUUCUACCUAUUUCUAUAUGUAAUUAUUAGCUUAUAUGAUUAUGGCCGUGACACCAUGUCAUCUCUGUUGAAUUUAGAAGAUUUGUAUUUCUUUUGAUAAGUAACAAACAUUUUUUUUGGCUAUGUCUGAUUUUGGUGAUAGCAUAGUGGUGUAAUUUAUCUAUUCUUUUGAGAUCUAUUACACAAAUUUGAAGUACUUUAAUAGCCAAGGCUUUCAAAAGUAUAAAUUUAUCAAAUAUAUGCAUAAUAUAUUCUAUGUCACAAAUAUAUACAUUAACCUAGAUAAGAAGUGUUAGUUAGAAAAUAAAUAUAGGUAGAUUUGAUAUUAUCUUGUGGUUCAGCUUUUUAGAAGCUUCAUAGAUGCAUAUUUGACUUAAUACAUGUUUAUAGUUAUUUGAUAGGUUAGAAACUUGGCCAAUAAGUUACUUAUGUGUUGUAUUUAUGCAUAACUUGUGGUACAAGCUAAUGUCAUAGAUAUAUAUCUAUUGUAAUUGUUACUUAAGUAAUAUGAAUUAGUAGAAGUAGAUAAAAAUAUAUUAAUUCUAUAAUAACUUUUGAAAAAGCUUCCUAGAAGCUUUUUAGAUGCCAUUUUGACUUUAUAUAUAUUUGUAGCUGAUUGAUAGGUUAAAAACUUAGUGUCACGAACAUAUAUAUUUACCUCAAUAGUUACUUAUAUGAUUAAGUAGAAGUAGAUAAAAUAGAAUAAUUUCAUAAAGUCUUCUAGAGAAGCUUCCUAGAAGCUUCAUAAAUACAGUUUUGACUUUAGAUGUAUUCGUAGGUUAGAAACUUGGCCAAAAAGCUAACCAUAUAUUGGUAGCUUAUGGAACAAGUUACCUCACUAUAAUAGCUUGUGGAAUAAGCCAACUACGUGGCGCAUACAUAGAUAACUUGUCUUGCAAGAUAAGACAUUUGGCUAACAAAGUCAACACAUGUUGGAGGUCUUAUAGGACAUCGCUGUCGUAUUACGUGCUUUCCUGCUUGAGAACGCACUAGGCGUUUGGCUGUAGGAGGUAGUAUGGAAAUUCGUUAAUAUUCAAGUAGUCUAUCGGUUUUUGACCGUUGGAAUAUAAACGAUUAUAAAAAUAUACCAUAAAUCUAUACGGAUGUCCUUCGACUGCUCACCGAAAUCCUUUUUGCCUCAGCCGGUAGGUCUCUAGACAUUACAGAGAACCCCAAACAACCCAAUCUCCUAAUCUCUGACACCGCUUUAUACUCACGACCUUGUAUCCACUGACUAUCUUGUUAGAUUAACCCAAAAAUUUUCAUUCAUUCCGCAUACUCAAUCCUAUAGACACCCUUUUAAUUCUUCAAUCACAGACGUAACUUCGAUUUCACAAAACAGUCAAGAGUAAUCACACCCACUUCAUUAAAACCCCGAUUCAUUAGUACAAUACAUCGACUAUUCAGCAUUGAUCGCCAGAAGUCCCUUUUCUGACCCUUACCCAAAAACCUUGUAUCCUCUUUUUUUCUUAACCUCCCUCCCCUUUAACCCUAAUUCUUCCCUCUUUCAAACCCUAGCCUCUGAAUUUCUUCAAUCUUCCAUCUUGGAUCCAAAAUUGGCUCCUGCCGUUAGAGCUUUCUCCUCCAUUUUUACCUUUAAGAGAUCUUUUUACCAAAAGGACGUUCCCAAAAUGGCACAAAGGACGGAAUAGCCUGAAACGAAAUCGGAGCCCCAUAAUCGGGACCACAUUGAGUCGCCCGACCAAUUCAAGUCUCAUAUUGAUUAAGAAGCCCGUAGUAAGACUUGGAUGUUCCCAUAAUUGGACCGCAUUGGAUUGCCCGACCAAGUCAGGUCUCAUAUUGAGUAAGAGGACCCGGAUUGGAUGUCUUGAAAUUGGAUCCAAUUGGCUCUUCGAACCAGGCUCACCCGUCAUUGAAUUGGUCUUUUCCCUUUCUGCUGACUCUCAUUAUUGGAAUCAAACGGAGCAUUUCAGUAUGCCCCGGUUGACUGUAUCGGGGUGAUUGACCCUGGCCUCUCAGUAUUUGCACUGGAAUUGGUCAUUGCUCCCAAUAUUCGAGGUAAUUGAAUAUGAAUAAAAGUCCCCUUUCUUUAUAUUUUCAUAAUAUAGUCGUAUUACAACACGACAUCCACCCCCUCUGAACUUGUGCAUCUUUCGGUAUGCACCAAUUUACCCAAUUGCUGUUUGAUUUAUAAUAUAUUCUCUACAUCUUUAUCCAGUUCGUCUUUGUCACCUUCAUUAUCCAAAUCACUUUCAUCUUCUUGCUGCGGAAUCUCUAUACCUUUAUUAAGGUCUUCAAUAUUCAUCUCUGCACGUCUUCGUUUAAAUAUUUUUACUCGCUUCCCUGCAAUUGAUAUUUUCAAUUUUAUACCAUCUAACUCCUGUAAUGAGUAAGUCACAUUAUCAUGAACAGUUGUUACUACAUAUGGUCCAAACCAACGUUUUGAAAAUUUCCACAUAGUACUAUGUUGGUUAUCCAGACUAUUAUCAUAAACAAGUAUCCAAUCACCUUCUUCGAUUGCUUUAGGUCUCAAUCAAUGUUGCUUAUCGAAUCGCGCCUUGUUUUGUAACCUUGCUCUUUUUAACCUUUUCAAUGCUAUCUGCACAUCUUCCAAUCUUUGCUCCAAUUGUCGAAUCCUAAUAGCCAGAAGUUCUUUUCUUGUCAAUCCAUCUUCCCAUGGUAGCAUACUCCAAGUAAGUACCUUUUCUUCAAUCAGCAUAAUUGGUUUUUGACCUCUCAUAAGUUCUACUGGCAUAUAUCAUGUCACCGAGCUAUGUGUUGUUCGAUCGGCCCGUAAUGCAAAUGACAAAAGCCGUGGCCACUCUUUAACUUUCCUAUUACAAGCUUUAACUAAUGCUUUUACAAUCGGUGGGUGACCACGUUCGCUUUUUGCAUUCCCUUCCGGAUUAUAAGCUGUAGUCAGUGAUAGUUUAACUCCACAUCUUUCAAAGAACUUACGAGCUUCUUGUGCAUUUAAUUCUCCACGAUCUGCAGUGAUUUUUCCUACGCAUCUAUAGUGGCAAAUGACAUCUUCAAGCAAAAACCUACAAAUCCCCUCUGUAGAUUUUGUCCUCAAUGCUCUUCCUUCUACUUGAUUUGAUAAAUCUUCACGAGCUAAGACCAAAUAUUUCAUCUGCCAUAACCCAACUGGCAUAAUAGCCAAAUCAACAAUCCAUUUAAAAUGAAUAGCGAGAGAAUACGUAGGAUGAAGGCCAUCUCGAUGUCGGAUAUUAGAAUACGAAUGACACAUUUCAUAUGAUUCUACAAAUGAGAGCACCUCUUGAUACAUAUUUUUCCACCAAUAUCGUUCCUUGAGUUUAGCAAAAGUAGCCCAGAUUCCUCUAUGCCCUGCCCAUAAACUACCAUGAAACUCCUUUAAUAAUUUUAGUUUUUCUUUCUUUUUGCCUAUCACUCAUCGUGGCAUCCCAAUUCCUUUCUUCGGUCUCUUCCAUAAGAAUCCAUCUCGAAGCAAAAAUCCAUAUGCUUUUUUUCUUAUUUGUUUGAAUUUUUCUGUAAACCAAUUCCCCUACUUACUCAAGGUAUUCAAGUAAUGAUCAAUAUCCAAUAAAUCUCCUUCAUAAGAUUCUUCAAUAAAUAGCUUGUCCUCCCUAUUGAGAUUUGAUAUUGAAUAGAAUUCAAUCCGACGUCAUCAAUGUCUUCAACCAUUUCGUCCUCCCUCUCGUAUCUUACUCGAGAUAGUAUGUCUGCUACUAAAUUGUCCUUCCCAGUAACAUGCUUAAAUUUUGGAUUUAGUGACUUAAUAUAAGCAAUCCAUCUCAACAUUGCAAUAUCUGGCGUUGAACAGUUAGUAAUCAUUCCAAGCAAUGGCAAGCAAUCUGUUUCAAUUACUACUACUGCCCCAAUCAAAUAGUCCUUUUCAGCUUUCAUAGCUAAAACAACUCCCCAAAGUUCUCUUUUGACUUGCGAAUAUGCAUGCUGACGAAUACUUAAAACUUUAGCUCCAAAUCAAACUGCAAAUCUAUUCUCACUUGAAUCAUCUUCACCCAUAGCCCAUCCAAUGGCAAUUGGACUAGCGUCCACAGUAAGAAUCACUGGUCUAUUGUACUUAUAAUCAACCUUCCUCAAUAUUGGAGGUGACAUCAAUAAUUUCUCCAAUAUUUGCAUUGCCUGAAUAUGCCUUUCUUCCCAUUUAAAUCGGUAACCCUUGCAUAAUAAUUCAUAUAAUGGAUCUGCUAUUUGAGCAUAAUGAGGGAUCCAGAUUCGAUAAAAUAUACAUGCACCUAAAAACCUGCCAACCUCUGUUAAAGAAUCAUAAUCCUCUUUCAUCCUUCCAAUUGCAUCAACUUUAGUCGGAUCUGGUUUUCUCCCGUAAAAUCCACAUAAAUGUCCAACAAUCACAACCUCUCGUACUCCAAAUACGGACUUCAUACCCGAUAAUGUAAGAUAAAUUCUCUAAGCCGAAUUAAAAUCUUUUCACAAUCUUGUAUAUGAUCAACAACAUAUUUGCGACACCCCCUCGUAUCUAAAGUUUCAUCCUUGUCUCCUUCUCUGCACCCUUUUAUAGGAACAUCAUCCAAAAAAGGCAUAGUCUUUUCCGGAAUAAAAUCUCUCAAUACCUUAUUCAUCCCAUUCAUCAUAUGUGCAAUUGAGUUGGUCGCGCCUUGAGGAAGAGUGCACAUUCUAACCAAUCUAAGUGGUGUCCUCAUCGUCGUCAUAUCUCUACUUCCUUUGGCAAGUUGAAAUUGAUCAUAACCAGAAUACAAGUCAUCCAUUGAAUAGAUUGCUCUUCCUGCAAAUGCCUCAGCAAAUUCAUCCACAAUAGGUCCAAUUCGUGCAUUCUUAAUAGUUACUGCAUUCACCGGUUGCAUAUCUUGAAUAAACCGUAGUGACCCAUUCUUCUUAGGUACCGUAAACCAUCGACUAGAAUACGGCGCAAAUGAGGGUUCCAAUAUUUUCAUCUUUAUCUUUUCUUUUAAUAGUUCCAUCAAUUUAGGUAAAUGUGCCCUCGGUACUGGAAUCGGUCUUAGAUUCUAAGGUACAUGCAGUAUAGUGAAGAUAACCAUAGGUGUUAUAAUAUUUGGAUCCACACACCCAAUUUCAUGAGAUUCAAAGGCAAACAAUCUACCUUGUUUAGCCAACAUCUUUUUGAAACAAGUAAUUUCCUCCGACAAUAAAGAACCAUAAGAACCAAUCUUCAAUUCUUCAAAAGUCUUUUUAGUGAACUGAUGUCCAAUACUCAUUGGAUCUCUUAAACUUGCUUCUUUUGAUGCUUCUCCCAUUUGUUCUUUAGAAUCUUCUGGUAAUGGUCCGGCAACAGGCUUUACCUUCUUAUCUGCCGUUUUAUAUCUCGUCUCUAUAGUGACUUCUGGUACUUGAAAAGAUUCAAGUAUGGUAUAAACCUCUCUUGAAUGAAUCUCAACAAUCUUAUCAUUAUUCCCUAACCCAAUAGAUGUAAUCAAUUCCAAUGAAUCUUCCAGUUCAUUUUCUUCAUAAACACCUAAAAUCCUUUCAUCAUCUUGCAAUGUACCUAACUUGCGUAAUUCUCCUUCAAUAUUAUAUAAUCUUUUUCUUUCUUUUCUUUUAAAAUCAUCAACUUUUUUAUACAUAAUAUUUCCAUUCUCCAAUAUACCAAUAAAACUUGCAUCAAAGGCACCUUCAUCUCAUGAGAGUAUUUCCUCUUUUGUACCUCCAUAAUCUCGCUUUAUAGUGGUACGUUUCCAAAAUCCUUAAAUCCUUCAACAAUCUUUGGCAAUGGUUUCUCCCUCAACCUAUCUCGAUUCCAUUCAUGGUUACGAGAUACUGUUAGAAAUUGUACAGCUUUCCUCCCAUCUUCGCUCCGUCUCCUUGCAUAAAAAGAACCAUCGUCAAGUAAUUUUGUUUCCAUCCGUGUUGCCGUGAUAUAAGGUUGUCCUAAAAUCAACGGAUAAGACGUUGUAUCUUGAACAAAGAAAUGUUGCUCCGUUGCAACAUCCCCAAUCCGAAUUUUGACAUCUGGACAAGCUCCAUAUAAUUCGCCCCGUGUGUUAAUAGCUGCUCGUAUUGCCCAUCCAUAUUCCAUAUCAAUUGGCCAUUUUUGCUUCUUAUAAAGAUCUUUAGACAUGAGAUUUAUUUCAGAACCAUGGUCGACUAAAGCAACAAUUGGUUCUUCUAUAUCUCCUACUUUCACCAAUACCUCAAUAGUUGCCCUUGCCCAAUGCUUUCAAGUAUAAUGGCUCAAAGUUUCCAUUUCCUUAUCACUAUAAUCUUUGAAACGUACUCGUUGAUUAUAUCCAUUCUUUUCAUUUGUUGGUUGCUUGUAACCAAUAUAAACCUCUUCUUCAUCUUUAUAUAUUCUUGCAUCAAUAGCAUGAUUCAUUCCGGUUUCACCUAUGAAUUGCCUCUUUCGUUUAAUGCUGUCAAUGAUAACAUCAUGAAACUCCUUCUUUGCAAUUCCCAAGACUUCUUUCAAUGUGAAUUUCACCUUAGCGUUUAAUAUACGUUCUUCCAACACCCCUUUCAAAUUUGUUGCCACUUCAAUGUCAGAAAGUAGUUUAUAAGCAAUUGAUUUGCCUUUAUCUUUUGUCUCCUUUGUUUUUUCUCCCAAUGAUGUUGAGGUAUCCUUUACAGACAAUUCUUGUGAAGCUGCCUCCCGAGCCUUGUCUCCUCGAGUUUGCCUCUUAGAAGAAUUUCCUUCUUUAGUAUCAUCAAAAUUUCCUCGUCUCUUUUCUUCCAUCAAAGGUUCAUGUUGGCUCUUAGCAAUAUAUGCAUGAACUGAAAGAGACUCAACAAGAUCCUCCCAACCUGUUGCACCUUGUAUUGUAGCUGCAGUCCUCAAUAAUGCUUCUCGAGGUAAUUUCCCUUCUUACAUUGUAGAAACGGUAGAAGGCCAAAACUCACUAAUUUUUGUUCUUCCACCAAGGUCAUCAUCUAAACCUGGUCUUGCCAAUUUGAUUUGAAGAUCUCGCAUUCCUCGUAUAAUUUCUUCCAUCCCCAUAUGUGCUUUCUUUGAUAAGGAUGUCAAAGGUUGAACUGUAGGCAUUGUUAGUGGUAUUGUACGUACAGGAGCUUUGGGUGCUUGUACUGUUUUUGGAAUAUUGCUCUUAUCCUUCCUCCUUUCUCUUUUUGCAAGCAACCCUACCGCAUCUUCAACGUUCUUCUACUUUGUUGUCAAUCCUUCAUCUUCUUCUUUGUGUUGAAGAAGGAGAUCUAAUUUCCCUUGCAAUUCUCCUUCAGCAGCUUGAAGAAAUAGAUCAACUUUGUUCGGCUCCAAUGUCAAUUUUUCUACCUUCGAUAAUUGACAGUACUGCCUCUCAAAUUUCCUUAGUAGCUUUGUUGCUUGUAAAUUCUUAUUCCAGAAACAGCUUCUUAGUAAUGCGAUCAGCAUCUUCCAAGAAAUAUUCGUCUUUCAAUGCAUGUGAAAAAACCUCCCAUGAAUUCUCAUAACGAUCCGUAAUCAAUGAUAUAUGGUCUCUUAUCUCCGGUAUCAUGGCAAGUCCAAAUAAUUCAACCAUUUUCUUCUCUGAAACUCGAUUUAAUUCCAUUUCACGAAUAUAAUAUCUUAAAUACCUUGAAAUAUUCUUUCCAUCAAAUUGAUCAAUUUUAUUGACCACUGCUUGCAAUGCUUUGGUUGCCAAAGCUUCCUUUCGAUGAUUGCUUUGCUGUUGCUGCAUUGAUAAUGAGAAGGCUUGAAACAUACUAGUAAUAGAUGGAUCCAUAUGCAUACCUUGUUCUUUAGAAGAAUCCCCACCAGAAACUCCUCGCAAAGAUCCUUCAAAAUUUUUAUUUUUAUUUUUCAUAGAAUAAAAAUAAAAUCAAAUGAAAUCCAAUACCUCUCACCUCAAGCUUUCAUUUGGGUUCACCACUUGUGUUAUAUUACGUAUUUUCUUGCUUGAGAAUGCAUCGGGCGUUUGGCUGUAAGAGGUAGUAUAGAGAUUCGCUAAUAUUCAUGCAUUCUAUCAGUUUUUGACUGUUGGAAUAUAAAAGAUUGCAAGAAUAUAUCGUAAAUCUAUACGGAUGUCCUUUGACUGCUCGCCAAAAUCCUUUUUGGCUCAGCCGAUAGGUCUCUAGACAUUACAGAGAACCCCAAACAACCCAAUCUGCUAAUCUCCUAUAUCGCUUUAUACUCACGACCUUGUAUCUACUGACUGUCUUGUUAGAUUAAUCCAAAAAUUUUCAUUCACUCCGCAUACUCAAUCCUAUAGACAUCCUAUUAAUUCUUCAAUCACAGACGUAACUUCGAUUUCACAAAACAAUCAAGAGUAAUCACACCCACUUCAUUAAAACCCCGAUUCACUAGUACAACACAUCGACUAUUCAGCAUUGAUCGCCAGAAGUCCCUUUUUUGACCCUUACCUAGAAACCUUGUAUCCUCCCUUUUUCUUAACCUCCCUCUCUUUUAAUCCUAAUUCUCCCCUCUUUCAAACCCUAGCCUCUGAAUUUCUUCAAUCUUCCAUCUUGGAUCUAAAAUUCGCUCCUGCCAUCAGAGCUUUCUCCUUCGUUUUUACCUUUAAGAGAUCUUUUUAUCGAAAGGACGUUCCCAGAAUGACAAAAAGGAUGGAACAUCCUGAAACAGAAUUGGAGCCCCGUAAUCGGGACCACAUUGAGUCGUCUGAUCAAUUCAGGUCUCAUAUUGGUUAAGAGGCCCGUAGUAAGACCUGGAUGUUCCCGUAAUCGGACCACAUUGGGUUGCCCGACCAAGUCAGGUCUCAUAUUGAGUAAGAGGACCCGGAUUGGAUGUCUUGAAAUUGGAUCCAAUUGGCUCUUCAAAUCAGGAUCACCCGUCGUUGAAUUGGUUCUUUUUCUUUCUGCUGAUUCUCGUUAUUGGAAUCGAACGGUGCAUUUUAGUAUAUCCCGGUUGACUGUAUCGGGGUAACUGACCUUGGCCUCUCAGUAUUUGCAUUGGAAUCGUCGUUGCUUUUAAUAUUCACGGUAAUUGAAUAUUAAUAAAAGUCCCAUUUCUUUAUAUUUUCACGGUAUACUCGUGUUACAACACGACAUCGCCACAUGGCUCUUAGUUAGAUAGUAUAUAUAGAGGCAAGAGUGAAGCCUUCUUCUUUCUUGUCAACGCCUUUCUAGUCUUAGUCUUGUUUCAAGACUUUCUAAUCUUCUUGUUUUUAGUAAUAGCCAUUCUAGUUAAUAUUACAUCACCUUUUGAGUAACUUUCUAGUUCUCUUCAGUGAUAGAAGAGUGUAUUGAGGAUUCCUUUUCUUUGAGAUUCAUGUCUUUGACAUUGAAUGUAUUGAAGAUGCCCUUUCUUUGAGAUUCAUGUCUUUGACAAUUUGACAAGAGUGCUAACAUAUUAUUUCUGUCUUGUUCUACAAGUGAGUAGAUUAUCCCACUUCUAUUAUUGUAUUUUGAAGGUUGCAGAUUAUCCACCUUUAAACAGAAAAUCUUGUUUUCUAAUACUGAUCUUUUCCUUGAAGAGAGUAGAUUACCCCUCUUUGUGGGAUUUAUUUUUAGAAGUUGCAGUUUAUCCUCCUCUAAUUUAACUUUUGAAUUCAUUUGAGUUGUCUAUAGAAUGAGAGAUUAUGGAUGCUACUCUCAAUAGAAGCGAGAAUAGAUUUCCAACUAUAGUAGAUUUUCAUGAGCUUGUCAAUACUUUAAGAGUAAAAAUCUAUAUUUUCGACGUGAAUCAUGGAAGUACUAUGCCUAUGCCUAUGGAAAAAGUUCACAGUCUUCGAUAAGAAGUUGUGUAGUUGAAAGAAGCCAGUACAUCUACAUUACAACCAAAUCUAGGGAGUUUUGCUUCUACAAGUAUGACAUGGAUAAGGAUUAAUAUGCCUGAGAAGUUUGAUAGAACAAGAUCAAAAUUUUGAGGAUUUUUGCAAUAAGUCAAGCUCUAUCUAAGGUUGCACCCUUUCCAAUAUCCUGAUGGAUUUAUCCAAGUCGGAUUUAUAGGCAUACUACUCUCUUUUAGUUUACAUCUUUAAUGAAAAAAGAUUCACGACUCUUUUAUGAUUUGAAUUCAUUUCUAGAAGUGUUUACGGCUAUAUUUGGAGAAAGUGAUCGAAAAUGAGUAGCAGAGACCAAACUUCUAUCCUUACGGUAAGGAUCACGAUCAGCCACUACAUAUGCUGCCGAAUUCCAAAAUCUUGCUUGCGACGUGGAUUGGAAUGACAAAGCACUUAUCAACCAAUUUUGAUAUGGAUUGAAGGAUAGCGUCAAAGAUUUGUUAUUAACUAUGCCGAAAGUAGAAUCUUUGAAAUAAUUUAUUACUCUAACCAUUGCAUAUGACAAUCAUUUAUUUGAAAGGCAUCAAGAACAAAGAUUUAGUUGGAGAAGAAUAAGUCAAGUAAUGGCGGCAGCUCUCAAGUUUUUUGAAACUUAUUUGUCAAAGCUAGAACCAAUGCAAAUUGAUAUGAUACAUUUUAAACCUCUCACGAAGUAGGAGAAGAUUCAACGUCGCUAAAAGGGAUUGUGUUUAUAUUGUAAAGAAGCAAAGCACACUGCUCAAUAUUAUCCAAAGAAGCAACACAAUUACAAAAUGAGAAGCACAAUUACCAAAGUAGAUAAUGUGUCGGAAAACAAAUUUUUCCAGUUACAAUAGGGAUCGUUGUUGUAAUAUGUGAAGUCUUGCUUGAGAAUGCUCUGGGCACUUGUUUGUGGAAGGAAGAAUAGAAAUUGUAAUAAAAAAAUCUUAAUUCUAAUAGAAUACUAAAAAUUCUCUAAUUAGAAUAUAAUAAUGCUAAGCAAACUUAAUCAAAUUCAAAAAAAACUUCAAAGAAAUUUAAAACCAACAAUAAGAAUUCUUAAAGAAAUAUUAGAAUGAUCACAAAUAUCACUCAAAUACAUCUCAAUUCAAUCUUUAUUUAAUUCUAGUCAAAAUCCUAUUGAACUUCAUUCAAACUUUAGGCCAAAACUAAUUAAAUCUUAAACCCUAAUAAAAUCCUAAAUCCUAAAUCAAACCCUAAACAAACCUUAAACCAAACCCUAACCAAAUCCUAAACCAAAUUAUAACCAAAUCCUAAAUCAAAUCUUAAAUCCAAAAUCAAAUCCUAAUCCCAAUUCUAAACCCUAAAUAAAAUCCUAACCCUAAACCAAAUUCUAAUCCAAAUCCUAAACCCUAACCCUAAACCAAACUCUAAUUCAAAUCCUAAACCCUAAUCCUAAAUCAAACCCUAAUAUAAAUCCUAAAUCCUAAUCUUCAACCAAAUUCUAAAUUCUAAACCCAAAAUCAAACCCUAAUCUAAAUCCUAAUCAAACCUUAAACCAAAUCCUAACCAAAUC